UGAACCUGCGGAAGGAUCAUUGUCGAAAUCGAACGGAAGAACGACCCGCGAAUCGUCAUUGCAUACUAGACAGAGCCCGUGAGCACCUAACGCUCAUGGGACUCGCGUCGCGUCGGCGUGGGUGUACUCGAGACCAGCGUCNUACCGGCGGACAAACAACGUCAGCACGGAUCGUGCCAAGGAGCUGCAUGGAGAGAAUCGUCGUCCCACGCCUUUGAUAGUCCUCGAUGCGGGACGGGGGGCGGGGGAUGUACGCAAUCUCUACUCAAGUCUAAACGACUCUCGGCAACGGAUAUCUUCGGCUCUUGCAUCGAUGAAGAACGUAGCGAAAUGCGAUACUUGGUGUGAAUUGCAGAAUCCCGCGAACCAUCAAUUCUUUGAACGCAAGUUGCGCCCGAAGCCAUUCGGCCGAGGGCACGCCUGCCUGGGUGUCGUGAAUCCCCUUGCCCCUAGGCACCCGCAUGAGCAUUGGCGGGGAUAUAUGCUCGGGCGCAGAAUAUGGUCUCCCGUGGGAUCGGCAUGUACGGCAUGUCGAGGUGCGGUUGGCCGAAAAUCGAGCAAUGGCUGUGACGGGCACCACGGCGUUCGGUGGAUCGAAUGAGAUUGGCUGCGCCGUGGGCUCGGCAUUAGGCGGGCUCCGGACUUUGAGUAUCCCCGAGUGCGAUCCCAGGUCAGGCGGGGCUACCCGCUGAGUUUAAG
This 699-nucleotide ribosomal RNA is filed under the name Miconia subcorymbosa. RNAcentral's name for it is "eukaryotic LSU rRNA". The stretch from base 278 to 434 matches the Rfam family "5.8S ribosomal RNA". Lineage: Eukaryota; Viridiplantae; Streptophyta; Magnoliopsida; Myrtales; Melastomataceae. The record is from RNAcentral.